This 495-nucleotide ribosomal RNA is filed under the name uncultured bacterium. Its description in RNAcentral is "partial 16S ribosomal RNA". It matches the Rfam family "Bacterial small subunit ribosomal RNA", at positions 28 to 523 of the family's 1533-position model. The record is from RNAcentral.
GAUGAACGCUGGCGGCGUGCUUAACACAUGCAAGUCGAACGAAGCACUUUGAUCGAUUUCUUCGGAUUGAAAUCUUAGUGACUGAGUGGCGGACGGGUGAGUAACGCGUGGGUAACCUGCCUCACACAGGGGGAUAACAGUUGGAAACGGCUGCUAAUACCGCAUAAGCGCACAGUACCGCAUGGUACGGUGUGAAAAACUCCGGUGGUGUGAGAUGGACCCGCGUCUGAUUAGCUAGUUGGCAGGGCAGCGGCCUACCAAGGCGACGAUCAGUAGCCGACCUGAGAGGGUGACCGGCCACAUUGGGACUGAGACACGGCCCAAACUCCUACGGGAGGCAGCAGUGGGGAAUAUUGCACAAUGGGGGAAACCCUGAUGCAGCGACGCCGCGUGAGCGAAGAAGUAUUUCGGUAUGUAAAGCUCUAUCAGCAGGGAAGAAAAUGACGGUACCUGACUAAGAAGCCCCGGCUAACUACGUGCCAGCCGCCGCGGUAA